CCUUCGGGUGGCAGCAGUGGGGAAUAUUGCACAAUGGGGGGGACACUGAUGCAGCGACGCCGCGUGGGUGAAGGAGUAUUUCGGUAUGUAAAGCCCUAUCAGCAGGGAAGAACAAUGACGGUACCUGACUAAGAAGCACCGGCUAAAUACGUGCCAGCAGCCGCGGUAAUACGUAUGGUGCAAGCGUUAUCCGGAUUUACUGGGUGUAAAGGGAGCGCAGGCGGCGCGUUAAGCCGGGUGUGACAGUCCGCGGCCCAACCGCGGGACUGCAUUGGGAACUGGCGCGCUGGAGUGCAGGAGGGGUAGGCGGAAUGCCGAGUGUAGCGGUGAAAUGCACAGAGAUGCGGAGGAACACCAGUGGCGAAGGCGGACGGCUGGACAAUAACUGACGCUGAGGCGCGAAAGCGUGGUGAGGAAACAGGAUUAGAUACCUUUGUAGU
RNAcentral lists this ribosomal RNA (440 nucleotides) under uncultured bacterium. Its description in RNAcentral is "partial 16S ribosomal RNA". It matches the Rfam family "Bacterial small subunit ribosomal RNA", at positions 338 to 794 of the family's 1533-position model. The record is from RNAcentral.